This 641-nucleotide ribosomal RNA is filed under the name uncultured bacterium. RNAcentral describes it as "bacterial SSU rRNA". It matches the Rfam family "Bacterial small subunit ribosomal RNA", at positions 125 to 765 of the family's 1533-position model. The record is from RNAcentral.
CCUACCUUUAACAGGGGGAUAACACUGAGAAAUUGGUACUAAUACCCCAUAAUAUCAUAGAAGGCAUCUUUUAUGGUUGAGAAUUCCGAUGGUUAGAGAUGGGCAUGCGUUGUAUUAGCUAGUUGGUGGGGUAACGGCUCACCAAGGCGACGAUACAUAGGGGGACUGAGAGGUUAACCCCCCACACUGGUACUGAGACACGGACCAGACUCCUACGGGAGGCAGCAGUGAGGAAUAUUGGUCAAUGGACGCAAGUCUGAACCAGCCAUGCCGCGUGCAGGAUGACGGCUCUAUGAGUUGUAAACUGCUUUUGUACGAGGGUAAACGCAGAUACGUGUAUCUGUCUGAAAGUAUCGUACGAAUAAGGAUCGGCUAACUCCGUGCCAGCAGCCGCGGUAAUACGGAGGAUUCAAGCGUUAUCCGGAUUUAUUGGGUUUAAAGGGUGCGUAGGCGGUUUGAUAAGUUAGAGGUGAAAUUUCGGGGCUCAACCCUGAACGUGCCUCUAAUACUGUUGAGCUAGAGAGUAGUUGCGGUAGGCGGAAUGUAUGGUGUAGCGGUGAAAUGCUUAGAGAUCAUACAGAACACCGAUUGCGAAGGCAGCUUACCAAACUAUAUCUGACGUUGAGGCACGAAAGCGUGGG